UACGUAGGUGGCAAGCGUUGUCCGGAAUUACUGGGCGUAAAGGGCGUGUAGGCGGUUUUUUAAGUCAGGCGUGAAAACUUAGGGCUUAACCUUAAGACUGCGUUUGAAACUGAGAGACUUGAGGAUCGGAGAGGGUAGUGGAAUUCCCAGUGUAGCGGUGAAAUGCGUAGAUAUUGGGAGGAACACCAGUGGCGAAGGCGACUGCCUGGACGACACCUGACGCUGAGGCGCGAAAGCUAGGGGAGCAAACGGG
This 253-nucleotide ribosomal RNA is filed under the name uncultured bacterium. Its description in RNAcentral is "partial 16S ribosomal RNA". It matches the Rfam family "Bacterial small subunit ribosomal RNA", at positions 524 to 776 of the family's 1533-position model. The record is from RNAcentral.